RNAcentral lists this ribosomal RNA (497 nucleotides) under uncultured bacterium. RNAcentral describes it as "partial 16S ribosomal RNA". It matches the Rfam family "Bacterial small subunit ribosomal RNA", at positions 28 to 507 of the family's 1533-position model. The record is from RNAcentral.
GAUGAACGCUGGCGGCGUGCCUAAUACAUGCAAGUCGAGCGAACAGACGAGGAGCUUGCUCCUCUGACGUUAGCGGCGGACGGGUGAGUAACACGUGGAUAACCUACCUAUAAGACUGGGAUAACUUCGGGAAACCGGAGCUAAUACCGGAUAAUAUAUUGAACCGCAUGGUUCAAUAGUGAAAGACGGUUUUGCUGUCACUUAUAGAUGGAUCCGCGCCGCAUUAGCUAGUUGGUAAGGUAACGGCUUACCAAGGCAACGAUGCGUAGCCGACCUGAGGGGUUGAUCGGCCACACUGGAACUGAGACACGGUCCAGACUCCUACGGGAGGCAGCAGUAGGGAAUCUUCCGCAAUGGGCGCAAGCCUGACCGAGCAACGCCGCGUGAGUGAUGAAGGUCUUCGGAUCGUAAAACUCUGUUAUUAGGGAAGAACAAAUGUGUAAGUAACUAUGCACGUCUUGACGGUACCUAAUCAGAAAGCCACGGCUAACUACGUG